CCUACGGGUGGCAGCAGUCGAGAAUCAUUCACAAUGGGGGAAACCCUGAUGGUGCGACGCCGCGUGGGGGAAUGAAGGUCUUCGGAUUGUAAACCCCUGUCAUGUGGGAGCAAAUUAAAAAGAUAGUACCACAAGAGGAAGAGACGGCUAACUCUGUGCCAGCAGCCGCGGUAAUACAGAGGUCUCAAGCGUUGUUCGGAAUCACUGGGCGUAAGGCGUGCGUAGGCUGUUUCGUAAGGCGUGUGUGAAAGGCGCGGGCUCAACCCGCGGACGGCACAUGAUACUGCGAGACUAGAGUAAUGGAGGGGGAACCGGAAUUCUCGGUGUAGCAGUGAAAUGCGUAGAUAUCGAGAGGAACACUCGUGGCGAAGGCGGGUUCCUGGACAUUAACUGACGCUGAGGCACGAAGGCCAGGGGAGCGAAAGGGAUUAGAUACCCUAGUAGUC
Molecule: ribosomal RNA, 446 nt
Filed under: uncultured bacterium
Lineage: Bacteria
Description: partial 16S ribosomal RNA
Rfam family: Bacterial small subunit ribosomal RNA
Source: RNAcentral